AGGACGAACGCUGGCGGCGUGCCUAACACAUGCAAGUCGAACGAGAUCCAACUUGUGGCAACACUUGUGAAGAUCUAGUGGCGAACGGGUGAGUAACACGUGAGGAACCUACCCCGGAGACCGGGAUAACUGGCCGAAAGGCCAGCUAAUACCGGAUAUCCCCAUCGGAUCGCAUGGUCUGAUGUGGAAAUGGAUUCCGCUCCGGGAGGGCCUCGCGGCCCAUCAGCUCGUUGGUGAGGUAACGGCUCACCAAGGCAUCGACGGGUAGCUGGUCUGAGAGGACGACCAGCCACACUGGGACUGAGACACGGCCCAGACUCCUACGGGAGGCAGCAGUGGGGAAUCUUGCGCAAUGGGCGAAAGCCUGACGCAGCAACGCCGCGUGGGGAUGAAGGCCUUCGGGUUGUAAACCCUUUCAGCAGGGACGAAAUUGACGGUACCUGCAGAAGAGCCCGGCUAACUACGUGCCAGCAGCCGC
This 478-nucleotide ribosomal RNA is filed under the name uncultured bacterium. RNAcentral describes it as "SSU rRNA". It matches the Rfam family "Bacterial small subunit ribosomal RNA", at positions 26 to 518 of the family's 1533-position model. The record is from RNAcentral.